RNAcentral lists this non-coding RNA (30 nucleotides) under Actinoplanes sp. SE50/110. Lineage: Bacteria; Bacillati; Actinomycetota; Actinomycetes; Micromonosporales; Micromonosporaceae. The record is from RNAcentral.
CGAGAUCACCCGAGCGCAGCGCGUCGAUCU